UACGGAGGAUCCGAGCGUUAUCCGGAUUUAUUGGGUUUAAAGGGUGCGUAGGCGGAUUGUUAAGUCAGCUGUCAAAGUUUACGGCUCAACCGUGGAAUUGCAGUUGAUACUGUUGGACUUGAGUAUGCAUGAGGUGGGGGGAAUUUGUGGUGUAGCGGUGAAAUGCGUAGAUAUCACGAAGAACACCAAUUGCGAAGGCAGCCCACUGGGGUAUAACUGACGCUGAUGGACGAAGGUUUGGGGAGCAAACGGG
RNAcentral lists this ribosomal RNA (253 nucleotides) under uncultured bacterium. RNAcentral's name for it is "partial 16S ribosomal RNA". It matches the Rfam family "Bacterial small subunit ribosomal RNA", at positions 524 to 776 of the family's 1533-position model. The record is from RNAcentral.